UGUCAGAGUCACACUGUAGGACAUACUGGUGCUGACAGCGGCGGCCUUCUCUGCAGACAAAUAGUAUGAAGAGUCAGGCCCCUCUGUCCGUCCCAGCUGGGGAAGAUCCAGCCACACAGCAUAACCAGAAAGAAAGGGCUGACCCUGGCCCUGGAGCCCCAGCAAGGCUGACCUGGAGCUGAAGGCUUUCUCUGGAGUCUGGCACUGCCUGGUGACUUGCUUCUGGCUGCGAGUAUUCUGGGGAACCUCUUGAGCUCAGGGCAUUGGCGGCGAGUACUGAUACAGCUUGCAGCGUCCAGCCCAGGUCUUGACUGCAGGACGAUGGUCCACUUGCUUGUGGGGCGGCUCCCCACGCAGCUGUUCCUUCUGUGUCUGUCCAUCCCUGGGAAGGUGGGAGAGCAACUUUGAGGAUACGGGAAAGAAGAGGGGGCGUGCCAACUGCAGACCCUUCCCAGUGUUGCUGGCUGCACCAAGACGCUCGUGACCCCCCAACUAAUACACAUACAAGAAAUCAGAGGGAGACAGAUAACCUCUGCCUUCUUCUGCAGGCUUAGGCCCUCCAUGCCCGAGGUGGGCUUGGAGGCCUGGAGGAGGCCGCACCUGUACUUGGGGUGGGUGAUGGCGUAAAUGAUGGGGUUGUGGAUGGCAGAAGCCUUGGCGAUGACAGCUGGCACCGAGCUCAUGUAGGGCGUCAGGACGUGCGAGUACCUAGGAUAGAGAAGGUGUGGGGUCCCCCCUCCUCAGACCCCCAGUUGUCUCUAUGCCCGACUCUGCCAAGGCCCAAACUAAACCGACACAGCCAACCCAGCCCCUUAGCGAGAGACUGGCAGGAGCAGUGAGGAUUCUGGUUGAAGGUGGGUAGGAAGCGGAGUGAGGAUGGUUGAGGGUGGGGUUCUGGGAGGAAGGCAUGUCACACCUGCAGAGGAAGUGGCUAGGUCCCACUGUCCCUCAGAACCUGUGCGGCUGGCAGUACCUCUCUGUGUCACUCAGUUGUCCCUGGUCUUCCGAUCCCACAUGCCAUGCCACCAAACCCUCACCCCAUCUUGUACACUGUCACCUUGGAAGUCCUAGAGAAACUUCUGGUAGGCCCCUGGAGGAGACUGCAUUAUUACUACUCAAGGAGAUUGGCACCCGAAUAGUUCAAAGUACCAAAAUCUCAUUCUCACAGAAGUGCUUUGGAAAUCUAGUCCAUGUGCAUGCUGCUGAAGGUGCCAUGGUUACCAGACUCAAGCCACAGAAGGUACUAGAGAGAACCUCUUAGGGAUCCAUUCUUAAGCAGCAGCAGCCCUGGCUGUGUGCCUAUGGCUCAGGCUGAGAGGGAACCUGAACCCCGAUAUAUCUGUACGUUCCCAAGGAGAUGGAAGGUCCCCAGAUUGCCUGUGUGUAGUCAGGGCUCCCCAGUAAAUCUCUGAAGCUUCCAGGAACCGGGUAAGCCUUGUGGGGUGAGGCCUGUCACAUGGGGAGGGUGCCAGGAUGCCUGGUUUGGGCCAGGCUGGAGGGAGAGGGUGCCUGGAUCUGUGCCUUAAUCCCCUAUCCCAGUGCUGUGGCCCCUGCUCACCCAGCAAAGGCCACCAGGGCCACAGUGGAGUAGGGAGCCCAGGAGAGCACGAAGAGGAGGAUGACAAUCAGUGCGACCUUGGCCAUCUUCCACUCACUCUGCAGCCGAUGCCACUGCCGCCGCCGUUGAGGGGACUCACUGCGGUCCUCACAGGCCCUAGGAAGGUUGCAUCUGGGUUGUCGCAAGUACCAGGGUCACAGCCACUGGGCACACAUAGGAGGCGUCAUCCUUUCCCACCCUGACAGCUCUGAGCUUCAGCUGCCCUCCAGGGGUUCUGCCAGGAGUGCAGUCUACCAGCCCUCCUCAGAGGACCUUGUCCCUGGGAACUUUCCUGGGAACCUCUCCCCGUAAGCACACGAGUUCACCGAUCUCAACCUAUCUGCAUCCGAGUACGUUCUGAUGGGCGGGCCCCACCUUCUUUGGGUCACCUCUUCACAGCACACUCACCGGCCUGUCUCUCGGAUGGCCCUGAAGAUGAAGACGUAGCAGCAGAUGAUGAUGAGCAGGGGGAGGAAGAAGACGAAGCAGAAGAGCAGCAUGGUAUAGGCGCGCACCCGGGGCGUGAAGGUCAUGUAGUCCCAGGAGCAGGACGUCAGCAGCCCCUCGGGCACGUAGGCACCUGCGAGCCGGGGACAGGGGCUCAGCCCUCACCUUGUCAUUGCUUAAGGCACCUUGCUCAGUAGGGGCCUCAAACGCCGAGCUUGGGGUUCCUGGGCACAACCUGGCCUCAGCCGCAAGCCUGCCCUGCCCAGAACCGAGGAAGCCAGAGACGGUUGAGAGACGUGAAGGGAGACUCCCGAGUUGGCUCUAGUGGGAACCUUGCUGCUUGUCCUGCCUGCUGAGGCCUCACAGGCCCAGCCCCUGGCUGGUCUGACUCGCUACAAACUCAGCAUUAAACAUGCCUCACUUGCUCCCA
This is a long non-coding RNA of Peromyscus leucopus (white-footed mouse), 2474 nucleotides long. RefSeq lists it as uncharacterized. The transcript has 5 exons. The record is from RefSeq and is a predicted model, not a curated record. Lineage: Eukaryota; Metazoa; Chordata; Mammalia; Rodentia; Cricetidae.